GAUUCCAUCGUUCAGCGGCCAGGACGCCCCGUUGUCUGCGGGAAUACGCCGGUUCGAGUCCGGCUGGAAUCGCCA
This 75-nucleotide transfer RNA is filed under the name Deinococcus metalli. RNAcentral describes it as "tRNA-Asp". It matches the Rfam family "tRNA". Rfam says of the family: Transfer RNA (tRNA) molecules are approximately 80 nucleotides in length. The record is from RNAcentral. Lineage: Bacteria; Thermotogati; Deinococcota; Deinococci; Deinococcales; Deinococcaceae.